Non-coding RNA from Chlorocebus sabaeus (green monkey), 46 nucleotides. The record is from Rfam. NCBI's taxonomy places the organism in Eukaryota, Metazoa, Chordata, Mammalia, Primates, Cercopithecidae.
GAAUAGGUUUUUUUAAAAACCAAAACCUUGAAAAACAAUGAAGUUG